This is a long non-coding RNA of Beta vulgaris subsp. vulgaris (sugar beet), 833 nucleotides long. RefSeq lists it as uncharacterized. The transcript has 2 exons. NCBI's taxonomy places the organism in Eukaryota, Viridiplantae, Streptophyta, Magnoliopsida, Caryophyllales, Amaranthaceae. The record is from RefSeq and is a predicted model, not a curated record.
GUGGGCGACAAGGUUAGCUUGAGGACAACCAGGAUGAUUGACAAGUCAUGACUAGAGAAACAACUAUCAUUGGAGCUUGCAAAGACUAAAGUGUCCUCAACUUUAAGUUGCUACUUGCAAUCUACUUUACUCGGAUCUAUCCCACUUUUCUCUAUUCCUUCUUUCAGUCAUGACUGAUGGCUCUUCAGUCUUGUCCUCUUACCCUGCCGCCACUGCAACAAACUAAAUUCUCACACCUCCAACGUUCAUUACAUACGCAAGGAAGUGGCACACAAAACCAUGAAAUAGGAGACCUCAAGGACAAUGAUUUGCCGGCAAUGGAAGCUCUAGUUCUUCUCUCAAGUUUAAGCAGUGGGGCUGGAAUGGCAAAUAAUGGAGCGAGUAUCGAGCUAAGUAUAGGCAUCCAAGCGGGUGGUGGGACAGGGUUGCAUUGACAGCGAUCACUAUAAAUAUUUGCCCUGCCAUAAAUGGUGGGGUACGGAUGGAGAUCAGAUUUCUGGGCUGAUAUAAGUGUGGAAAAUCCAUCCCCUGCAUUGACAAUAGAUGAGUAGCACAUUGACAUUUCUAUACAAGCCUACUUGGGUUUCUUGCUAAAAUUAAUUUACAUUAGCCAUCUCUUUUAUUUUUUGGUAUAGGAAUUAUACAUACAGGUUUUUUUAAUAUAAAAUGAAGCUGUCUAUGCAUUAUGCAAUAUGAUAAUUGAUAGAAGUUUGUGGUCGCAUGCGAAAGUUGUAAUGGACCCGAAUAGUAUCGUAAAAUUGAAUUUUCAUUGAUAAUUAAAUUUUACAAGUGUGUUUGUGAGAGCUCAUGUCUCUCAUUCACCUUGGUAGUUA